UCCAUCCCUCGUUGAUUUGGAAAUAAUGUCAGAUAUGUUCGUUUCUGAAAUAUAUAAUGGAAAAUUAAAAGGUUGUUUCUUGCAAAUCGCUGCAUGGCAUAUGGCAUUUAAAUCGCAUGAAUCCCUUCAUGCUUCAGUAUAUUUUAGUGUUGGUCAAUAAAAUGCAUAACCCUGGAUUUUGUUGCAACAACCUUAACAGGCACUAAUGAUGGCAAUACGGAACAACUUCUGGGUUGACAAAUACCCCAAUUUGAAGCGUUAGCCAAUUUGUGGCAAUGUCCACAAUUGAUUUAGAUUUGCGCUCAGUGCAGCCGCACACUUUGGAUUAGCCAAGUAUUCAUUGCAUUAUUGGCAUUAAUUGCUCAGCCAGCAAAAACCGCACCACAUUCCUCCUUCGAGAGUAUUUCAUUUUAUUUCAAUAUUUGACAAAUGCAUUUAUAAUUGCUGGCCGCAGAUAAAAUCCAAUGUGCCAUCGUCAUCGUCUUCCGUGCAGUUUGUAAUUGGAACUCUGAUUUAACAGGCAAAUUCCAAACUGCACUGCCGUCCUGUGGUUGGCCAAAAGCUAUCGACUACCAAACUAUCGCUUAUAUAUGUACAUUUAAUCUGAAUAUUAUUGAUAAAUAACUAAAGUGCAGCAAGCCCAGAGGAGGAUGUAUUUUACUAAAA
Molecule: long non-coding RNA, 666 nt
Organism: Drosophila simulans
Lineage: Eukaryota; Metazoa; Arthropoda; Insecta; Diptera; Drosophilidae
Exons: 3
Source: RefSeq, a predicted model, not a curated record